Micropterus dolomieu (smallmouth bass) is the source of this 477-nucleotide long non-coding RNA. RefSeq lists it as uncharacterized. The record is from RefSeq and is a predicted model, not a curated record. The transcript is spliced from 2 exons. NCBI's taxonomy places the organism in Eukaryota, Metazoa, Chordata, Actinopteri, Centrarchiformes, Centrarchidae.
UUCCCUCCUUUCCCCAUCACCAGACUGCCACACAAAAACUAUACACCUGUUCCCACUUCCCUCAUCAGCACUGCAGUUACCUGGCCUACUCUGCCCACUCAUCAACUGCAACUUAUGCUGCGUUUCAGGCAACUCGGUAAUGUCCAACCUCCAACUACAAAAAAGCACUAUGGAACGGCACUUGAAGUUGAAGUUCUUACUUGUGAACUCGGAGGAAAAAUAUGUACCCCGACUUCACGAGAAGCAGCUGAAUGACGUCACACAACAAUGGCAGCUCCCAUGGAAGCACACAUUGUAAAUGGUCAUCAAAGUUGCCAUGAGCCUAGUUGCCUUGCUGGUGUUUGCAUUUGAGUUUUCGUUUCCUGGACCUGCAUCUGACUGCCAGCCCACUGGUCUGCCAGUUUGCCUACCUGUACCUGCCUGCCUGCCAACACCUGCCUGUAAGCUCAUUCAUGAACAAUAAAUCAUUGAACUGCA